GAUGAACGCUGGCGGCGUGCUUAACACAUGCAAGUCGAGCGAGUGAGUUCUUCGGAACGAUCUAGCGGCGGACGGGUGAGUAACACGUGGGCAACCUGCCUCAUAGAGGGGAAUAGCCUCCCGAAAGGGAGAUUAAUACCGCAUAAAAUUAUCGAGUGGCAGCACAGGGUAAUCAAAGGAGCAAUCCGCUAUGGGAUGGGCCCGCGGCGCAUGAGCUAGUUGGGGAGGUAACGGCUCAACAAGGCGAGGAUGCGUAGCCGAGCUGAGAGGGUGAUCGGCCACAUUGGGACUGAGACACGGCCCAGACUCCUACGGGAGGCAGCAGUGGGGAAUAUUGCACAAUGGGGGAAAACCUGAUGCAGCAACGCCGCGUGAGUGAUGAAGGUCUUCGGAUUGUAAAGCUCUGUCUUUGGGGACGAUAAUGACGGUACCCAAGGAGGAAGCCACGGCUAACUACGUGCCAGCCGCCGCAGUAA
This 476-nucleotide ribosomal RNA is filed under the name uncultured bacterium. RNAcentral describes it as "partial 16S ribosomal RNA". It matches the Rfam family "Bacterial small subunit ribosomal RNA", at positions 28 to 523 of the family's 1533-position model. The record is from RNAcentral.